This 1418-nucleotide ribosomal RNA is filed under the name Escherichia coli. RNAcentral describes it as "partial 23S ribosomal RNA". It matches the Rfam family "Bacterial large subunit ribosomal RNA", at positions 466 to 1869 of the family's 2925-position model. Lineage: Bacteria; Pseudomonadati; Pseudomonadota; Gammaproteobacteria; Enterobacterales; Enterobacteriaceae. The record is from RNAcentral.
CUAAAUACUCCUGACUGACCGAUAGUGAACCAGUACCGUGAGGGAAAGGCGAAAAGAACCCCGGCGAGGGGAGUGAAAAAGAACCUGAAACCGUGUACGUACAAGCAGUGGGAGCACGCUUAGGCGUGUGACUGCGUACCUUUUGUAUAAUGGGUCAGCGACUUAUAUUCUGUAGCAAGGUUAACCGAAUAGGGGAGCCGAAGGGAAACCGAGUCUUAACUGGGCGUUAAGUUGCAGGGUAUAGACCCGAAACCCGGUGAUCUAGCCAUGGGCAGGUUGAAGGUUGGGUAACACUAACUGGAGGACCGAACCGACUAAUGUUGAAAAAUUAGCGGAUGACUUGUGGCUGGGGGUGAAAGGCCAAUCAAACCGGGAGAUAGCUGGUUCUCCCCGAAAGCUAUUUAGGUAGCGCCUCGUGAAUUCAUCUCCGGGGGUAGAGCACUGUUUCGGCAAGGGGGUCAUCCCGACUUACCAACCCGAUGCAAACUGCGAAUACCGGAGAAUGUUAUCACGGGAGACACACGGCGGGUGCUAACGUCCGUCGUGAAGAGGGAAACAACCCAGACCGCCAGCUAAGGUCCCAAAGUCAUGGUUAAGUGGGAAACGAUGUGGGAAGGCCCAGACAGCCAGGAUGUUGGCUUAGAAGCAGCCAUCAUUUAAAGAAAGCGUAAUAGCUCACUGGUCGAGUCGGCCUGCGCGGAAGAUGUAACGGGGCUAAACCAUGCACCGAAGCUGCGGCAGCGACGCUGAUGCGUUGUUGGGUAGGGGAGCGUUCUGUAAGCCUGCGAAGGUGUGCUGUGAGGCAUGCUGGAGGUAUCAGAAGUGCGAAUGCUGACAUAAGUAACGAUAAAGCGGGUGAAAAGCCCGCUCGCCGGAAGACCAAGGGUUCCUGUCCAACGUUAAUCGGGGCAGGGUGAGUCGACCCCUAAGGCGAGGCCGAAAGGCGUAGUCGAUGGGAAACAGGUUAAUAUUCCUGUACUUGGUGUUACUGCGAAGGGGGGACGGAGAAGGCUAUGUUGGCCGGGCGACGGUUGUCCCGGUUUAAGCGUGUAGGCUGGUUUUCCAGGCAAAUCCGGAAAAUCAAGGCUGAGGCGUGAUGACGAGGCACUACGGUGCUGAAGCAACAAAUGCCCUGCUUCCAGGAAAAGCCUCUAAGCAUCAGGUAACAUCAAAUCGUACCCCAAACCGACACAGGUGGUCAGGUAGAGAAUACCAAGGCGCUUGAGAGAACUCGGGUGAAGGAACUAGGCAAAAUGGUGCCGUAACUUCGGGAGAAGGCACGCUGAUAUGUAGGUGAAGUCCCUCGCGGAUGGAGCUGAAAUCAGUCGAAGAUACCAGCUGGCUGCAACUGUUUAUUAAAAACACAGCACUGUGCAAACACGAAAGUGGACGUAUACGGUGUGACGCCUGCCCGGUGC